CCAUGUUACGUUGAGAGCCACAAAAUACAAAAGAAAGAACGGGAGUACAACUUCCAAAUUAAAUGAAAAAUUUUGCUCGCGUUUGUAGUACGGUAUGUAUGAAAGAGCAACUGAUAUACAUCGAGAUACAUAACAGUAUUGCCACAUAUGUCAUCUGACAACGAGAAACUUUAUUUUCAAAUACUAAUUCGAUCUGAUCGAGGGCUAGCUGAUCGAGAAUAUAUACGUAUCACAUGCAUUCGAACACACGUGUAAUAUAUUAUCCCAAUUAAUUAGUUGCGGAAGAACACCAUACGGAGGAGAAUUACUGAUACUAGCUGCAAGUUGGACCACAGCAUACAAUCAGGGCUUACGCGAUGCGCAUGGCGGGUAGCAGUACGGAUAUUGAAGCAAAACCCGGCCGGCGGAAGCCAUCGC
This 417-nucleotide long non-coding RNA is filed under the name Oryza brachyantha (malo sina). Its description in RNAcentral is "long non-coding RNA (OBRA_LNC003083)". The record is from RNAcentral. Lineage: Eukaryota; Viridiplantae; Streptophyta; Magnoliopsida; Poales; Poaceae.